Molecule: long non-coding RNA, 906 nt
Filed under: Phaseolus vulgaris (common bean)
Lineage: Eukaryota; Viridiplantae; Streptophyta; Magnoliopsida; Fabales; Fabaceae
Description: long non-coding RNA (PVUL_LNC000339)
Source: RNAcentral
AAAAAAAAUAUUGAUAAUGCAAAAGAAUAAAGUUUGUUUAGUGACGUGGGUGUUUAAAUGAAAUAGGGGAUGCAGAAAGUAAAAAAUAAAGAAAACAGAUUGGACAAGAAAACUUGAAAUAGUUGUGAGUUGUGUAAAUUAAAUAAGGGCUGCAGAGAGUAAAACAUUUAGGCAGCAACAUAUUGGACUAGAAAAUUGAAAAUACUGAUGUGGGGUGUGUAAAUUUAAUAAGGGCUGCAGAGAGUAAAAAAUUUGGGCAGCAGCAUAUUGGGCUAGAAAAUUGAAGUACUGAUGUGGGGAGUGUAAAUUUAAUAAGGGUUGCAGAGAGUAAAAACUUUGGGCAGCAGCAUAUUGGGCUAGAAAAUGGCAAAUACUGAUGUGGGGUGUGUAAAUUUAAUAAGGGCUGCAGAGAGUAAAAACUUUGGGCAGCAUAUUGGGCCAAAAAAUUAGAAAAAAUGAUGUGGGGUGUGUAAAUUAAAUAAGGGCUACAGAGAGUAAAAAUAUUGACCAGGAUAUUGGGCCAGAAAAUUAGAAAAAGUGAUGUGGGGUGUGUAAAUUAAAUAAGGGCUGCAGAGAGUAAAAGAAUUGGCCAGUAUAUUGGGCCAGAAAAUUAGAAAAAGUGAUGUGAGGUGUGUAAAUUAAAUAAGGCUGCAGAGUGUAAAAAAAUUGGCCAGCAUAUUGGGCCAGAAAAUUAUAAAAAGUGAUGUGGGGUGUGUAAACUAAAUUAGGCUGCAGAGAGUAAAAAAAUUGGCCACCAUAUUGGGCCAGAAAAUUAGAAAAAGUGAUGUGGGGUGUGUAAAUUAAAUAAGGGCUGCAGAGAGUAAAAGAAUUGGCCAACAUAUUGGGCCAGAAAAUUAGAAAAAGUGAUGUGGGGUGUGUAAAUUAAAUAAGGCUGCUCCAGAAACU